This is a long non-coding RNA of Bubalus bubalis (water buffalo), 5093 nucleotides long. RefSeq lists it as uncharacterized. The transcript is spliced from 2 exons. The record is from RefSeq and is a predicted model, not a curated record. Lineage: Eukaryota; Metazoa; Chordata; Mammalia; Artiodactyla; Bovidae.
UGGAGAAGGAAAUGGCAACCCACUCUAGUAUUCUUGCCUGGAGAAUCCCAUGGAGGGAGGAGCCUGGUAGGCUACAGUCCAUGGGGUCGAAAAGAGUUGGACACAACUGAGCGAUUUCACUUCACUAACCUUUGCAUAGUGAAUAGUACUAAUAUUAAAAUUUCCAUUUUAAGAGGUAUAAUAGAUUCUAUAAUUAUUCUAUAGUUCAUUGGGAAGAUAAAACUUAAGGAAUUUUUGAAAAGAUAAUAUAGAACUAGAUUAUUUUUGAAGAUAGUAUAAACCUACAUCAGAUGUAUGACUAGACAGAUCAGUAGAACAGAAUGACCCAGAAACAGACUUUAGUACAUACAUAUAAGACAUAAAAAAUUGUAACAAUGACAUCAUAAGUCAAUGGGGAAAGAUUAAAAAAGCACAUUUUUUAUUCUCCACUGAUGGAAAUGUGAAUUGUUAUACCCGUUUAAAUCGCUCAAUUUGGCAAUCUAUACCAAGAUCAAAUGCGCAUAAUCUUUGACACAUUGUAUUAAGAUUCUCCAAAGAAACAGAACCCACAGGCACAAAUGUUUAAUUUGGGCACCCAGUGACUGGUGAAGUUGACACAAAAGCCCCCAAUUCCACUUCUAGAUAUUUAUGUUGCCAGUCCAUAGGGACGUGUAAGAAGUGUAUAGUUACAAGUGUAUUCAUUGCAAUUUAGUAACAAAGGAUUAGAGACAGCCGAAGUAUCUAUCAGAUAAGGUGACCUUUUUAAACGUCGGUUUAUACCUGCUGUUCUUGGUGUAAUCUUAGUGCUCCUUUCAAGUGUCCCACUUUAGAUAAAUUAUAUGUUCACUCUAAUAUAGAGGAUUGGUUAGAGAAAUUUCUACAUUGGCUCAAUGGAAAAAAAAGAAUGAAGACAUUAGGUACUGAGGUGGAAUGAUCUCCAAAACAUAAUGUUCAAUGAAAAAUAGUGUUCAGUGAAACUGCAAUGCUGCAGUUUAUGUAUAGGAAGAAAAAAUACGUGUGCAUGUUGAUACUUGCUUGUAUUGACAUGAUGGUGUCCGUGGAGAUACACAGAAUGGGGUGUCAUUGAUAACCUCCAUGAAGUGGAACUGGAUACUUGGGGAACAGAGAUCCCAGGAAUGACCCUUUUCACUGUAAACUUUAUUGCACUUCUUAAAUUUUUAACUAUUCAAAAAUAAUAAAAUAUUUUAGCAAACAAUAAAAUAUAUAGUAAAAUGAUGAGGUAUUUGGGAAAAGAAGUUGUAUCACUUGGGGUUCACCAAAGAAACAACUAGUAGGAUAUAUAUGAACUACAUUAAUUUCAAGGAACUGGUUACCUGAUUUUGGAAAUUGGCAAACCUCAAAUCUGUAGGGCAGGCAAGAAAGCUGGAAAAUCUCAGGCAGGAGCUGAGCCUGCCAUCUGUUUCUUCUCCGUGGAAACCCCAGGUUUGCUCUUCAGGUCUUUCAAGGGCUUGAAUGAGGCCCACACAUGUUAUGGAGGAUAACCUCUUUUAUAUAAAUUCAAGGGGCUGUAGAUGUUAUUAAGCACAUUAUAGCAACAUCAAGAUGAAUUCUUCUCAAGAAGGCUCUGGUCUGUUUUACUUGGCAGUCCACUAGCCAGAGCUACUUGAGAUGUAGUCCACAGAGUGGGCUGUUCUGUUUGUUAGUACAUGACAAAUUAUAGAAGUUGAGAGUUAAGGGUAUAAAAAAAACAGCAGGUAUACUACGUCUAUUGAAUUUUAAAAACUAUUUUAUCUAUUUGGCUGCACUGGGUCUUAGGUGCAGCCCACAGAAUCUUCCAUCUUAGUUGCAGCGUGUAGGAUGUAGUUCCCUGAUCAGGGAUUGAACCUGGGCCGCCUGCAUUGGGAGCUCAGAGUCUUAGGCACUGGACCAUCAGGGAUGUCCCAAGUCUAUUGAAUUUAAAAAAUGGAUUGUGAUAGUUGUAUUUGUUUCUUCAGUUUUCUAGUAACUUAACUAGAUUUUACAAAAUCCCAGUGAUCAUAAAUAUCAAAAGAAAAAAAAAAAUCUGCCCUUUUCCACAGAUAAUUUAAGAAACUCCUGAAUCCAUGGUAAGCAGUGUGUAAGGCUGCAUGUGGCUGGAAAGAUGGGCAGAAAUACAGGUUUGCUGCAGUUGACCUGAAGUAGCAGUAGAGGAGGGGAGCAGAACUUACAUUCACCCUGUAAUAAUUCUCUUGCUCUUUCCUGAAACCAACAGUGUAACUCCCUAAGCUGCACUCCCAGCAUGAGAGAGAGGAGAGGAUCAAAGAGCCCACUUGUGGGUGCCGCCUGGCUGGAUGAGAGGGCUCCGAGCACUGAGCAUUCUGCCCAGCGGCCCUGGAAUAAGGGCAGGUUUCUCUGGAGGCAGUUACAGCCAUUCCCAUUGUUGAGGGGGGCUCCCCUCAUCCAGAGGCAACAGUGCUUCUGUGGGGCAAGAUUUUCCCUGAAGGAAUUUUGAGAACAACUGCUGAUACUUCGGCAGGGUCUUGAGGUACUUCCUUUACAAUGAGCGUGUACUGUUAGUGACAGAGCUUGACACAGACCGCUAUUAUCUCAAACAACCCCACUUGCCUGCCAUUGGCAUGAAAUACCCUUCUUUGUUCGAGGCCCUUUUCCUGAUCUCCCUCAGGAGGUGAAAUCACGACCACUUUCCAGGGCUGUUGAGAGCAGAAAAGCCCUCAGUCAGUUCUCAUGUGAAAUGUGCCGAGGACCCCAGCAUUGGGAGCAUUCCAUCCUGCUCCUGUGUCCAGGGUCUCCCUCACUGAGGGGGAUCUGUCUACUGAAAGAUGAACGACCGAGAUCGGACUGUGCCAUCCCCUUGAUGGAGCUGUUUUCUUAUUUGAGACUGUAAGAAAGCACACCCACCUGUAUGGACUAUUGAGCAACUUUAAGAUAACAAACUUUGGCUUUUAACCAAUAUUAAAUACAAAAUGCUGAAUGGUAAGAAAACUAUGCAACAACAAGUAAUUAUCAUAUCCCCUCUUCCCCAAUUUUACUCUUGUUUUCUGUUUUUUUCUCAGGAGAAAUACUAUAAAGUGGUUGCUAAAACAUGCACAAAUUGGGAACCGGCCUAGCACUUUUAGUAAUAGCAACACUAAUGAAUCAAAAUGAAGAUAUAAAUCUAAAUGUAUUCAUAUGGAAAAAUGUACAUUAUACAUUGUUAAGUGAGCAGAUGAAGAACACUACAGAAUGAUUAAAUUUGGUUUUAAAUGUUUAUAUGCAAAGGGAGAAAUCUGAAAUGUUCAUUUGCUGUUUUUACUUUAAAUUUUAUAUAAUGAUUACGUGUCACUUUCAAAGUUAUCAAACAGAAACAAUAAAAAAUAAUUCAUAUUUGAGCAAAGACUUCAUAGGGCAAAGUAUUUCCCCACUGAAUAUCAAAUACAUUGGAACUAUCUCAAAAGGAGGGCUAUAGUUCUUUGGAUCUAAAAUUGAAGACAACCAAAAGCAAAAAUCCUAGUAUUUAGAAAGGACUAUUCAGUAAGGUUCUAAAUAUAAGCUAAUUUCAUUUUGAAAAUUGGAGAUUACUGUCUAUAGCUGAAAACAUCAAGGGAUUCAAGGUGGUAUUUAUAUGAAAUUUGAGAAAGCUUUGACAAGUUCUUGGCUAACAACUGACUAACUUGCAAACACACACACGCACAAAAAUUGCAUGAGACUAGUAUGUUCUUAUAAGCACUUUGUCUUCCUCCCAGGAGGUAUAUGGAAAGCAGAUAAAUUAAAAUACCUUUUGUCCUUGACCUGCACAAAGUAACGAUUAUACAGAACACUAAGCUAAGUCUUUCUGGCAAGACCACCUUCUCUGACAAUAUAAAAGGAUUUUCUACUAUAGAGUUAUGUCUGUGUUCCUCUAUCUGUCCUUCUGGUACCACACGUCCUCCUCCAGGCCAACUUGGACCACCCACACACUAACAGGAAGUCUGAUAGACAUCAGAAGUCUGAUAGACACUAGGCUAGGCUCUGGCAAUGAGACCCCAGUGCAGCCUCAUUCUUCUGUCCUUACUCCUUUCUUCAACCCUUCCAUGUUUGAGAAGAAUGAACAGACUCUUCCACAAGCCUGCAUGUUGACUUCCCGUAGGUUUUCAGGGGUUCCCUGACUCUUCCAGUAGAAAUAAGUUUGAAAUCAUCAACAUGUGAUUUGGGAGUACUAGGCAUUCAGAGACACGAAUAACUUACCAACUUCCAGCGUAAUAUCUUGAUCCACUCGUCAGCUUCUACUCCUGUCUUUGCACAGAGGUAAAAUGUCCUGAAUGGAAAUACUAAGCUGAUAAGACAAAAGAAAGAAUGUAAGAUAUUCCAGACCAUUGAACAUCUUAUUAGUUGAGCACUCAUUAAAGUAUUCCAAGUGGAAAAAGAAUUGACGUAGAACCUGGGUAAGAACCUCAGGAGUUGGUAUAUAGAGAGCUAGGCCUGCUGGAAAACUGCAGAAAUGUUGAGGAUGUUGCACAUUCACAUUAUUAUUUUUACAGGCAGAUUUGUAUAUUUUAAUGAGUCCAAAGGGUGGGAUGGAGGUGGGGAAGAGGUCCAGGUAAAACCCAGAUCCUUCUAUUGUUCAUGAUCUAGGCUGAAUACACACAUGUGUUUAUUCCGCUGAUUCAUUAAAUGACUCAGAACUUGUGCUACAAUUCAAAGAACAAGCAACACAAAUAAAAGAGUUUGCUGAAGGAAUUCAUUUGUGUUAGCUGGCUGCAACAAGGAAGACAGCGGCCUCUGUGGACGAAGGCAAUUUUAACUUUUCAGAGCAGCAAAGGAGACAAUAAAUCUCAUCAACUAUUUACUUUUCCUCCUUCUUGCCAUGAAUUAAUCUUUGCUGAAGGGAAGACAAACUUGCCUGCUGGCAUGAAAGACUGUUCUAGGAAGAGAAUUAACUCCUCCUUUGACUGUGUCUUGGGUUAUAGAGUCAAAAUCAUUUGACUCAUGGACUUCCCUGGUGGUCUAGUGGCUAAAACUCCCAGCUCCCAAUGCAGGGGGUGCCCAGGUUCAAUCCCACAUACUGCAACUAAGAGUUCAAACGCUGCAGCUAAAAGAUCCCACGUGCCAUAAAUAAGACCUGAUGCAGUCUAAUUAAUUAACUUAAAAAAUCAUCUGAUUUAUAUCUUGCCCACACUUUCUAUCCUAACAGUUGA